Molecule: small RNA, 29 nt
Filed under: Bombyx mori (domestic silkworm)
Lineage: Eukaryota; Metazoa; Arthropoda; Insecta; Lepidoptera; Bombycidae
Description: ovarian small RNA-12127
Source: RNAcentral
AGCUAACGUUAUGGUUUGUAAUGAAAGGA